UUAUUGAUGUGUUUAGCCCUUGCAAUUAGGCGGCAUUUAAAAAUUCGUCCCUGUAAUUGUUAAUCCUGGCAUUUUAACCCUGCAAUUGUUAAUCGUUUAAAAUUUGGUCCUUGGACCAAAUUAAUCACUGCCACGUCACUAAUUUGAUGACGUGACAAUCACUGUCACACAUGAAAUUCCAAUUUUGCCCUAGGGGUAAAUUUGGAAUUUCAUGUGGCGUGGCAGUGAUUAAGUGGGGAGAGGGACGAAAUUUUAAACGAUUAACAAUUGCAGGGUUAAAAUGCCAGGAUUAGCAAUUACAGGGACGAAUUUUUAAAUGCCGCCUAAUUGCAAGGGCUAAACACAUCAAUAAGCCAAA
This 358-nucleotide long non-coding RNA is filed under the name Medicago truncatula (barrel medic). Its description in RNAcentral is "long non-coding RNA (MTRU_LNC003751)". Lineage: Eukaryota; Viridiplantae; Streptophyta; Magnoliopsida; Fabales; Fabaceae. The record is from RNAcentral.